GAUGAACGCUGGCGGCGUGCCUAAUACAUGCAAGUCGAGCGAACAGACGAGGAGCUUGCUCCUCUGACGUUAGCGGCGGACGGGUGAGUAACACGUGGAUAACCUACCUAUAAGACUGGGAUAACUUCGGGAAACCGGAGCUAAUACCGGAUAAUAUUUUGAACCGCAUGGUUCAAUAGUGAAAGACGGUUUUGCUGUCACUUAUAGAUGGAUCCGCGCUGCAUUAGCUAGUUGGUAAGGUAACGGCUUACCAAGGCAACGAUGCGUAGCCGACCUGAGAGGGUGAUCGGCCACACUGGAACUGAGACACGGUCCAGACUCCUACGGGAGGCAGCAGUAGGGAAUCUUCCGCAAUGGGCGAAAGCCUGACGGAGCAACGCCGCGUGAGUGAUGAAGGUCUUCGGAUCGUAAAACUCUGUUAUUAGGGAAGAACACAUGUGUAAGUAACUAUGCACGUCUUGACGGUACCUAAUCAGAAAGCCACGGCUAACUACGUG
This 497-nucleotide ribosomal RNA is filed under the name uncultured bacterium. RNAcentral's name for it is "partial 16S ribosomal RNA". It matches the Rfam family "Bacterial small subunit ribosomal RNA", at positions 28 to 507 of the family's 1533-position model. The record is from RNAcentral.